GUGGGGAAUAUUGCACAAUGGGCGCAAGCCUGAUGCAGCGACGCCGCGUGAGGGAUGACGGCCUUCGGGUUGUAAACCUCUUUCAGCACCGGCGAAGCGGCUGGGUUUUCCCGGUCGUGACGGUAGGUGCAGAAGAAGCGCCGGCCAACUACGUGCCAGCAGCCGCGGUAAGACGUAGGGCGCGAGCGUUGUCCGGAUUUAUUGGGCGUAAAGAGCUCGUAGGCGGCUUGUCGCGUCGACUGUGAAAACCCGCGGCUCAACUGUGGGCUUGCAGUCGAUACGGGCAGGCUGGAGUUCGGUAGGGGAGACUGGAAUUCCUGGUGUAGCGGUGAAAUGCGCAGAUAUCAGGAGGAACACCGGUGGCGAAGGCGGGUCUCUGGGCCGAUACUGACGCUGAGGAGCGAAAGCGUGGGGAGCGAACAGGAUUAGAUACCCUAGUAGUCC
RNAcentral lists this ribosomal RNA (444 nucleotides) under uncultured bacterium. RNAcentral describes it as "bacterial SSU rRNA". It matches the Rfam family "Bacterial small subunit ribosomal RNA", at positions 354 to 796 of the family's 1533-position model. The record is from RNAcentral.